This 440-nucleotide ribosomal RNA is filed under the name uncultured bacterium. Its description in RNAcentral is "partial 16S ribosomal RNA". It matches the Rfam family "Bacterial small subunit ribosomal RNA", at positions 339 to 795 of the family's 1533-position model. The record is from RNAcentral.
CUACGGGCGGCAGCAGUCAAGAAUCUUUCACAAUGCGCGAAAGCGUGAUGGAGCAAUGCCGCGUACGGGAUGAAGCCCCUCGGGGUGUAAACCGUUUUUAUCGGGGAAAAACUUUGAUGGUACCCGAAGAAUAAGAGGUUGCUAACUCUGUGCCAGCAGCAGCGGUAAUGCAGAGACCUCAAGCGUUAUCCGGAUGUAUUGGGCGUAAAGCGUCUGUAGGCGGUUUGUUAAGUCUUCGGUCAAAUCUGAGGGCUCAACCUUAAGACUGCCGGAGAAACGAAUAAGCUAGAGAAUGGGAGAGGCAAAUAGAACUGUCGGUGUAGUAGUAAAAUGCGUUAAUAUCGACAGGAAUACUCAAGGCGAAAGCAUUUUGCUGGAACAUUUCUGACGCUGAGAGACGAAAGCGUGGGUAGCGAAUGGGAUUAGAUACCCCGGUAGUC